GAAAUGCGAUAAGUAAUGUGAAUUGCAGAAUUCAGUGAAUCAUCGAAUCUUUGAACGCACAUUGCGCCCGCCAGUAUUCUGGCGGGCAUGCCUGUUCGAGCGUCAUUUCAACCGUCAAGCCCCCCGGCUUGUGUUGGGGACCUGCGGCUGCCGCAGGCCCUGAAAAGCAGUGGCGGGCUCGCUGUCACACCGAGCGUAGUAGCAUACAUCUCGCUCUGGGCGUGCUGCGGGUUCCGGCCGUUAAACCACCUUCGUAACCCAAGGUUGACCUCGGAUCAGGUAGGAAGACCCGCUGAACUUAAGC
Molecule: unclassified non-coding RNA, 304 nt
Filed under: plant metagenome
Description: partial contains 5.8S ribosomal RNA, internal transcribed spacer 2, and large subunit ribosomal RNA
Rfam family: 5.8S ribosomal RNA (bases 1-105)
Source: RNAcentral